RNAcentral lists this ribosomal RNA (2715 nucleotides) under Shigella boydii. RNAcentral describes it as "partial 23S ribosomal RNA". It matches the Rfam family "Bacterial large subunit ribosomal RNA". The record is from RNAcentral. Lineage: Bacteria; Pseudomonadati; Pseudomonadota; Gammaproteobacteria; Enterobacterales; Enterobacteriaceae.
CUAAGUACCCCGAGGAAAAGAAAUCAACCGAGAUUCCCCCAGUAGCGGCGAGCGAACGGGGAGCAGCCCAGAGCCUGAAUCAGUGUGUGUGUUAGUGGAAGCGUCUGGAAAGGCGCGCGAUACAGGGUGACAGCCCCGUACACAAAAAUGCACAUGCUGUGAGCUCGAUGAGUAGGGCGGGACACGUGGUAUCCUGUCUGAAUAUGGGGGGACCAUCCUCCAAGGCUAAAUACUCCUGACUGACCGAUAGUGAACCAGUACCGUGAGGGAAAGGCGAAAAGAACCCCGGCGAGGGGAGUGAAAAAGAACCUGAAACCGUGUACGUACAAGCAGUGGGAGCACGCUUAGGCGUGUGACUGCGUACCUUUUGUAUAAUGGGUCAGCGACUUAUAUUCUGUAGCAAGGUUAACCGAAUAGGGGAGCCGAAGGGAAACCGAGUCUUAACUGGGCGUUAAGUUGCAGGGUAUAGACCCGAAACCCGGUGAUCUAGCCAUGGGCAGGUUGAAGGUUGGGUAACACUAACUGGAGGACCGAACCGACUAAUGUUGAAAAAUUAGCGGAUGACUUGUGGCUGGGGGUGAAAGGCCAAUCAAACCGGGAGAUAGCUGGUUCUCCCCGAAAGCUAUUUAGGUAGCGCCUCGUGAAUUCAUCUCCGGGGGUAGAGCACUGUUUCGGCAAGGGGGUCAUCCCGACUUACCAACCCGAUGCAAACUGCGAAUACCGGAGAAUGUUAUCACGGGAGACACACGGCGGGUGCUAACGUCCGUCGUGAAGAGGGAAACAACCCAGACCGCCAGCUAAGGUCCCAAAGUCAUGGUUAAGUGGGAAACGAUGUGGGAAGGCCCAGACAGCCAGGAUGUUGGCUUAGAAGCAGCCAUCAUUUAAAGAAAGCGUAAUAGCUCACUGGUCGAGUCGGCCUGCGCGGAAGAUGUAACGGGGCUAAACCAUGCACCGAAGCUGCGGCAGCGACACUAUGUGUUGUUGGGUAGGGGAGCGUUCUGUAAGCCUGUGAAGGUGUACUGUGAGGUAUGCUGGAGGUAUCAGAAGUGCGAAUGCUGACAUAAGUAACGAUAAAGCGGGUGAAAAGCCCGCUCGCCGGAAGACCAAGGGUUCCUGUCCAACGUUAAUCGGGGCAGGGUGAGUCGACCCCUAAGGCGAGGCCGAAAGGCGUAGUCGAUGGGAAACAGGUUAAUAUUCCUGUACUUGGUGUUACUGCGAAGGGGGGACGGAGAAGGCUAUGUUGGCCGGGCGACGGUUGUCCCGGUUUAAGCGUGUAGGCUGGUUUUCCAGGCAAAUCCGGAAAAUCAAGGCUGAGGCGUGAUGACGAGGCACUACGGUGCUGAAGCAACAAAUGCCCUGCUUCCAGGAAAAGCCUCUAAGCAUCAGGUAACAUCAAAUCGUACCCCAAACCGACACAGGUGGUCAGGUAGAGAAUACCAAGGCGCUUGAGAGAACUCGGGUGAAGGAACUAGGCAAAAUGGUGCCGUAACUUCGGGAGAAGGCACGCUGAUAUGUAGGUGAAGUCCCUCGCGGAUGGAGCUGAAAUCAGUCGAAGAUACCAGCUGGCUGCAACUGUUUAUUAAAAACACAGCACUGUGCAAACACGAAAGUGGACGUAUACGGUGUGACGCCUGCCCGGUGCCGGAAGGUUAAUUGAUGGGGUCAGCGCAAGCGAAGCUCUUGAUCGAAGCCCCGGUAAACGGCGGCCGUAACUAUAACGGUCCUAAGGUAGCGAAAUUCCUUGUCGGGUAAGUUCCGACCUGCACGAAUGGCGUAAUGAUGGCCAGGCUGUCUCCACCCGAGACUCAGUGAAAUUGAACUCGCUGUGAAGAUGCAGUGUACCCGCGGCAAGACGGAAAGACCCCGUGAACCUUUACUAUAGCUUGACACUGAACAUUGAGCCUUGAUGUGUAGGAUAGGUGGGAGGCUUUGAAGUGUGGACGCCAGUCUGCAUGGAGCCGACCUUGAAAUACCACCCUUUAAUGUUUGAUGUUCUAACGUGGACCCGUAAUCCGGGUUGCGGACAGUGUCUGGUGGGUAGUUUGACUGGGGCGGUCUCCUCCUAAAGAGUAACGGAGGAGCACGAAGGUUGGCUAAUCCUGGUCGGACAUCAGGAGGUUAGUGCAAUGGCAUAAGCCAGCUUGACUGCGAGCGUGACGGCGCGAGCAGGUGCGAAAGCAGGUCAUAGUGAUCCGGUGGUUCUGAAUGGAAGGGCCAUCGCUCAACGGAUAAAAGGUACUCCGGGGAUAACAGGCUGAUACCGCCCAAGAGUUCAUAUCGACGGCGGUGUUUGGCACCUCGAUGUCGGCUCAUCACAUCCUGGGGCUGAAGUAGGUCCCAAGGGUAUGGCUGUUCGCCAUUUAAAGUGGUACGCGAGCUGGGUUUAGAACGUCGUGAGACAGUUCGGUCCCUAUCUGCCGUGGGCGCUGGAGAACUGAGGGGGGCUGCUCCUAGUACGAGAGGACCGGAGUGGACGCAUCACUGGUGUUCGGGUUGUCAUGCCAAUGGCACUGCCCGGUAGCUAAAUGCGGAAGAGAUAAGUGCUGAAAGCAUCUAAGCACGAAACUUGCCCCGAGAUGAGUUCUCCCUGACUCCUUGAGAGUCCUGAAGGAACGUUGAAGACGACGACGUUGAUAGGCCGGGUGUGUAAGCGCAGCGAUGCGUUGAGCUAACCGGUACUAAUGAACCGUGAGGCUUAACCUUACAACGCCGAAG